This is a non-coding RNA of Biomphalaria pfeifferi, 702 nucleotides long. Lineage: Eukaryota; Metazoa; Mollusca; Gastropoda; Planorbidae. The record is from the annotation of a GenBank genome assembly.
AGUAGAGUUGUUGUUUUUUUCUUUUUAAGGUUAUCUCUGAAAAACAAAUUUCGUUCCGAAGGAAAAAAUCAAUAUUUCAUUGGUUACACAUUCAGUAAACUAAUACACAUUUGUUUUUUUUCAUUUUGAAUGUAUCCUAUAGAUCAAGACUAAGAAUAAGACUUAUUGUAGAUGACUUCUACUAGUAAUAAAUAACUAAGAUAGAAGGCAAUAAAAAGGAUAAAUUUAUAGAAGGGAGAAAAGUAGUAUAUUGUAAAUAGUGUGUCCGAAGACAGUUACCUCCCAUUUGUAUUGAUUUUUCCCCUCAGCUUUCUUAUAAGCUACAGAGUGUGCUAUUAAAAACAACAUUAGGACAAGUGAAUUGUUGUAUGAAAUUACCGUACGCUAAAACAAUUAAAACAUAAAGCAUACGUAUGGUAUAAAAACAAUAAUGAAUGAACACAAAUUACUCAAGGAAUUCUUUAUGAACAGCUAAACAACUUUACAUUGAAAUGAGUGACAAUUUCAGAAAGAUUUUACCGCAGUAAAUUGACUCGAAACAGUAAGUCUUAGAGCUGUGUGUCCGCAGUAAAUGGAUCCAUAACAGUAUGUAUUAGAUUAGAGCUGUGUGUCCGCAUUUAAAUUGGAUUUUUAACAGUCUGUGUUAGAUUAGAGCUGUGUGUCCGCAUUAACUUGAUUUAUAACAGUCUGUGUUAGAUAAGC